Myotis davidii is the source of this 11381-nucleotide long non-coding RNA. RefSeq lists it as uncharacterized. The record is from RefSeq and is a predicted model, not a curated record. Lineage: Eukaryota; Metazoa; Chordata; Mammalia; Chiroptera; Vespertilionidae. The transcript has 3 exons.
UUUUGUGUCUAUUUUUUUUUAAGCAAGAUUUUUUUUUUGUCAUUCUUUCCCAUCUUUUCUAACUUCAGGGGUUGGGGGGGUGCUGUUGUCUUUACCAGAUGAUUUAAAAUCCUCACCAUUUUCCAACUAGACCUGGGGGUCGAAUAAGCCCUUGCUUUCAAACUGUCUUCAGGCUGUGUGUAUGACAGGCAUUGGCUGAUCUGCUGAUGCCCAUUCGACAGGCACUGUUGAGCUAAAGUGGUGUGACGGCACAGUUUUGUUAAGCUGUGAACAAAGGGCUGGAGAUGCCUCCCUGGCAUCGUCCAUGUGCAUAUUGGCCUUGUCACAGUUUUGCUUGAUUUAAUGCUCUGUUUAUUCCUAGAUAUUAAAACUUAAAUUCCAAACAAUAUGUUUUCAGAGACUACAUACCAACUUGAUUGUGAAAGCUUGAACUUUGAAGACCCUAGGGUGCAUUUGCUCUUCUAGUUUCCACGUAGCCCACGUGAAAACGCAGCUUUGGAAAUAACUAGAUUGCCAGUAGCCUCUUAACUGUUAUCCAUUUAAGAAAGGGAUUCUAGUCUUAAAAAGUCUUAUUAGGGUAAAAGAUUUAUUUUUCUUUGAUCACGGUUGAAAGUCAUUAUUUGUUUCCAACAGUGGAUUCUCCCGUAAAUUCCUCAGGAAAAGUUACCUUGUGUGUAUACAAUCUGGGUAGACUUUUAAAAACAAAUAUUUUAGAAAGAUAUAUUAUCAAAAAAAAGAUAUUCAGUUCUUAAAGAAACCAUUUAUAAAUACCUAUGAGGGUACACACAUUGCUGCUUCUAGAGGGGUGGGGGGAGAAUCAAAGAGGUUUAUGUUAAAGUAAGCCCUAUGGAAGAGAAAGAAGAAUUAAGAUUGAGGCCCCCAAAUAAAAUAAUUGUUAUAAAAAUCCCUGUUCCACUGACAAGAGCUAGUUUGUCCAAAGAAAACUGAAGUUGAUACUAAAUGUAGCUCCCAGUGUCCCGUCGAAUGUGUCCUGAGCUUUAUCUGUGCCCUGGGUUUUUUGUUCCCCCUCUGCCCCUUUUUCUUCCCUUCAGGUUUGCUUCAAGUGUUUGCUGAGAGAUUAGUUAGCAAGUUUAUACUGAGGAGGUAGCCAUGGGAAGCAGCUCUCCCCUUGCAGGAACGCACAGUGGGUCAGAGCGUGAAGAUGCUGGGAGCUAAGGCUGACUGAGGCCCGGGAUCAGGUACUUUAUUUUCUCUCUGAGACAACCACUCACAGAAAGGCUUGUGGAAUGACAUCUCGUCCCAGCAGGAGCACAGAUGCUACCCCUUUUAGAAACUUCCAAACAAGCAUUAUUGCAGGAACAACUUUAUGAAAAAAAAAAUCUCUUUAAGUCUAUUGCCAGCACACUCCCUUUUCAUUAUGUAAAGAGGCUAUAAUUUGAGAUAUUCAGGGUUAUUUUUACCUCCAUUCAUAAAACAACUUCUUUCUGGAGAGCUGUAAUGGGGAAGGUGAGGAAGGUGGCGAAGGAGCGGAAAAUAGCAGCAUGAAACAAAGUAUUUCUGCUACUCACCAGUGAGACUGCACAAAAAAAUCUGAAAUUGAAUCUCUAGGGUAAAACACAUACACAUUUUCACCUGCCCUAAGCAUAAUUCUUAGCAAGGACAGUUUUACUAACUGAAAUGAAUUGCCUUUUUUUUAGAGUAGUAGUUUUACUCAAUGUUCAUUUAUAGCAAAUAAUUCUCACAGCCAGAAAGGGUGACACAGGUAGGGGUGACAAGGAAAGAUCAAGCUUUUAUUGCUGGUUUUUGUAUAACAUCACAUGUGGAAAAGGCACACCUGCUUACAAGAUACUCUGUGGCCUGUUCUCUUUAAGUUUCAUGAGAGGUUUCUGUGUCCAGUCCCACUGGUGUGACCCAGAUUUAGACACACAAAUCUCCAACCUGGCAAAGAAUAGACCUUUAAUAUAUUAAUAGGACAGAUUUUUACUUAAUAUAUGAAAUGAAUCUUGGCACUAGUCUGAAGGUCCCUAUGAAUACUUUGUUAGCAUCUGUUUAUAAAGGAGACACAUAGAAGUUGCCCCUAAUGGUCCUCCUGCCCCAACCCCCAGCUGAACAUUAUCUGUUUUGUCGCCAGCUCAUAAUGUCCUAUCCGUAAAUUGCUCUAAGUGAAGCUGUAUCCUAGCUAUGUUUUAUAACAAACACAGGGCUAGGACCAACAUGACUUCUCACCUUUUAAUGAACUGCCCUAGUUCAGGAUCUUCUAAGAAAUGAAGUACAAAAAGGAGCAAAGUGGAGAUGAAGAUAUCUCAUAAAUAGUUUCCUUUGAACAUGCACAGUUGCUUACAUGGCCUUUCCCCCUUUUUUCCAGGCUAGCAGAAAUGGCCUAGCCCAGGGCUCAUCCAAGAGAGCACCCUUCAGAGUUGUUCAUUGGAUGAUUUGAGGGAGGCUCCAGCCCUAGGAUACCAAUGAAGUGUAUUUACUGAGAACUUUCGUACAAGUGGGAGCGGGUGUGGUGUGAGUACAGGGCAUUCUUGAAGGAAUGUCUAAUUCCUGCGAGAAUAAUAAGGCCUUCUGGCCAUUCUUCAGCAAGAGGUUUCAAGGAAACAGAGAGGGGUGGCUGUGGUUUCCCCCAUCCCACCCCUGGCCCAGUGAGGAACAAGGUCUGCUUCAUGUACAUAAGAUCUUUGAAUGUCUCUGCCACGAGGUAGGGCUUGGGCGAUCAGUAUCUGCAAGCUGGGAGCAUGAAGGUGAUCUCAUUGUAUCACAGUGUAGAGAUGAGAUAGGCUAGAGCUACAGCACAUCAGUGCAUUGUGCCCGGGUGGCUGGAACGAUCCUCUCAUUUCCAAAGCAGCCACUCUUUUAUUUUCCAUCAUUGUUCCCUUACCUCACUUGUGUGCUUCUUGUGAUAUGGAUCUGACUGAGUCGUGCAAGCUUCAGACUUGCCAGCCCCCAGCUCCCAGGCCUAGUACAGAGUCAUUCAUAAACUUACCGUAUUAGACUAUCAGAUCGAAACCCAGGAUCUCUACGAGUGGUGGCAUUGGAAAGCCCAUUGUUUUGAUUAUCAUUUCAUCAGCCCCAACUGAUACUAGUCUGCUCAAGGAAAACAUACGUCGGUUACAGUUGAUUUUCAGAUUCCAAAAUGGUGCUGCAAAGCCGGUGCGUCUCUAAUUAUAUUUUAUGCUAGGCUGUGCAAUACCAAAAUAUACGCCACAGCAAUCAGGGAGUGAACAGUAUCAAUCAAUUUGUAAACAGAUGAAGUCACUCAUUCCCAAACUGGUUUUCCAAAAACAAUUACUAAAUUACAAUAGGAAAAAAAUUGUACAGUUACUGUAUUUGUGUGCUGUGUUACAAUCAACAUACCAGGGAAACAAAACAAUUUAAUGCAGAAAAAUCAUCAUUCAUCUACAUUAUAAUUGCUUCUUUUUCACAUCUACAGGGCGGUUAAUUAAAAUUGUGAUUAAAUGCGGUCGCGCUGCCUAAGAUGUCUUGCCCAAAACAGGUGGUACAGAAUUUAAAAGUAAAAAAAAUGUAAUUAGCAUUGGAAAUUGAGAAAUUGCCUGUAAGAAUCAGUGUUAAUUUCAGUCAGUGAUGAGGUAAUUUAUAAAUGAAUGCAGUGGAGGCUGUGCAAAUGCACAAUUGCCUUCCUUGCCAUUCUUAGCAUUCUCAGCAUGCAGGUGAAAAUGUUUUCAAAAUAUUGAGGUAAUUUGAAAAUCAAUCCAUGCAUUCUGUAUCUUUUUUCUCCCGUUUGUACCAAAUGCUGAACAAAUGCUGCCAUAGAUGGCACGAUCCAUCAGUUGUUUUAUUUUCUAAAAGCAAUGCUACAGUUAUUUCAGACCUAGAUCAAGAAAUAUAAUGACAGAAAUUACAGACCUCAAAUUGUUACAAGGGUCAAAAUUGUACACCUGAAAUUCUGACUAAUGUGAAUUUGCUUUGCUGCACGGCACCACAUCAAUAAAAUAGGGACCUGGAGGGAACUAUUCUCAGAAACAGACAGAAAGACUCUUAACCAAUCCAAAAAAUGCAUGAGGUUUUAUUUUUAAAGUUUAAGGAAGACCUUGAGAAUUAUAAUAUGGCUGAUCUUUUCCUUAGGAUCUUUAAUUUUUAUUAUUCUACCUAUAAAUCCUUGAAAACCAGUUAAUAAGGUAUCAUUAGAAAUAUUUUUUUUCAGAAGUGAACUCUGCUUAUUAAUAGAAUCUCUCUUUUUUAACAAAGAUGCAACUUCUUAACCAAAUAUUAUGCCAUCCGUGUCCUAUAUUUCAGGCAUUCUCUUGGCACAUGAGUAAAUUUAUAGUUUAGGUACUAUUUAAAAAUUUAUUUUUAUUUACAGUAUUACUAAAAUAGAACCACUAGGCUUUUAAAAUCUCCUUUUCAUGGAGGAAAUUGAACUUGUAUGUCCUUAUCUUGACCAUCUGAGCAAUAUACAUUUAAAAUAUUUUCAUGAUGGAGGAAAAUAUGGGGUUUAAGUAUCUGGCUGCAGUGGUGCUAAAGAGACUUCUUGGGACUUUAAAGCAUUCUCUCCACAGAAAGUCCAUCCUAAGAAUAUGUUAGCUGUUACGGAUUAAUAAUCAGAGUUGAAAAUGUAAAAUAUUCUGCAUGAUCUGCAUGAUUGUUUGCUGUGUGAGGCAGACAUCCAUGAUUUCCCUGUGAAGACAUACUUGGGUCAGACACCUGCACGCUGACAAUGCGGGGAGAGAGACGAAACAGCGGGAGCAGCCUUCUUCCCUGACAGUAUCUUCGCAUCCUCUGGGGUCAGGCCGGGUGCCAGGCCUUCCCCUGGACCUUUCCUCCUUACUCUGGGGAUACAAGUGAACUGCGCAGUUUCGAGGUGACAACUCGGCCAGUUGUUCCAAGUGGCAUGCCGUCAUUUCUCCUGCCUCUCAAUCUGUUUUCCAUUUAAUAUUACAAGUAGAAAUAAAAGGAGACCUAUAAAUGGAGGAAACUGAGAGGUCACCAGUUAACUUCACGAUCCCUCGCCUUUCACCAGCUCCUUACCCCCCACCAACUGCGAUUAGGACGAUUUCAUCUUCCAGCAGUCAGUCCACCUUUGGGGAGGGAGAGUGCACACUUCAUCAGGGAAUGGCUUCCUGGAUUCCCUUAUGGACCCGUGAACAUGAGAUCUGCGGCCACAUGGGCCUUGGCUCAGAUUUCAGGAGAGCGGUGAGACGGGGGAGGUACGACUUCACCCUCCAGGCUGCGCUGGUUCUGGGUUUACAAGGGGUCACCAAGGUUAGAGAAUCACAGAUGUCAAUAGAGCUCCUGGCCCUACCCCUUAAAAAAUUUGCAGUAGAAAUCUUCUUACCGCUUCACAUGUAGUUCUUAGUCCUCUGGAAGCGAGCAGGGCAACACGAUGCGGGGUUCUUUGCUAGGGAGAUUUCACCCAUGUUAUGUCAAAUGAUUGACAGAGGCAAUGCCUUUAUACACGCUCCCUCCCCCAGGUGUCUUCUCCAACUCUUACAGCAGCAUCAGGACGCUCAGAAAAGGUCUGACUAUGUGGCUCUACUAGCACUGGAUUGGCCAGCAAUUUGGUAUUUUGAGUCCUCUUUCUUUUCAAAGUUUCCAUGCGCGCUUACUUGAUUUAUUCUGCUAUUGCUAGAAGCAGCACCUCUUUGGAGCUGAAGGCAGGUUUGUGGAAGAAAAAGGCAUAUUUUCUUUUCCCCCUCAGGGCUUCUUUCACCUUCAUUCUUAAGAGUGAUCUGAGCAUUGCAUUAGAAGAAAGGAUUUUUUUUUUCUUGUUGCAAAAAUAAUUGACAAGUAUGCCACCAGGUCCUUCUUGCGAUUCCGGUAUUUCAGCAGAAAAUUGCAGUGUUUACUCAUUCCUCAUUAAUUGAGCACUUACUACAUGCAGGCACUGUUCUUGAGGCUGCUGAUCAAAAAAUGAAUGGUGGAGCCUGGGCCACUGAGGAGUUUGCUGCCUAGUGGGAAAGCGGGGGUGAAGAAAUGAGGAAAAUGUGAUAAGUGCUAUAAAAACACACCUGUGAGUAGAGAGUGCAGAAGAUGUUGCAUCUAGAUUUGGGAGAAGGCGGUGAGGCAGACUUCCUGGAGGAAGUGGCUUUUAAGGAGACUAUGGUCUCAUGACUUGGAUAUUACCAGUGGUGUGAGGGAAGGGCUGGGACAGGCAUUGGAGGAGGGAAAGGGAGAACAGCUCAGCUAUCGUCAGCCAACAGAAAUGUCUGACCAUAGGGCACGUGCAGGAGGAUGUGAUCCAUUGAGUCUGCAAAGGUGGCCUGGGAGUAGAAGAAUGUCCUGUCCCAUAUUUCUGGCUCUUAUCCAGUAAACAGGUGAUGAUGAGCAUGCGAAUCCUUUUUAAAGAAGAAGAAUGACAUAAUCAUAUUUGUGUUCCAGCAAAAUGUCUCUGGCAAGUGUAUGAAAGCUAAUGUUAUCUAACAUUUAUUGAGUACUUAUAAUGUGCUAAGAAUUUUGUCUGUGUCAUCUGAUGUUGCCCUAACAACGAUUCUAUCAAAUAAAUAAUACGAUGAUUGUAACACACUUUUUACAGAUGAGGAAAUGGAGGCUUAGGAAAAGCACGAGGCCAGAGUCAGGAAGAAAGUUUAUGGUUAAAUGUUACUGGAAUCGUGGAAUUUCCAGAAUUAACAAGUAACUCUGGAAAGACAUUUGGAAAGGGAAACCCAGCAUUUGAAAAAGAGUUAAAGUGAGGUGGUUUGGUUCCCUUUUCUCUGGGUGAGUGGUGAGAUGAAGUGGGGACUAAGGUUUUUUUUUAAUCCUUAAAAUUCUUCAUUUCAUUCAUUACUGUGUCAGUUUGAAAAAGAAAAUGAAAAACGAUUCUUGAUCCUCAAGAAAUGGAUACUAGAAUGUGUAGCUCUUUGGGAGUUUGGACAGAGAUGGUUAACAGACAGCCCUUCAAAACAGUGGAGUUUAGUAAACCUGGAACACUGGCCUUGCUGAUUUAUUUCAUGACAGUAGGGCCUUCUUCGGCCUUAUGAGGAAGCAAAUGAAAAUAAUCCCUUUGCGAUGACUAUUUUCCUUCCUUUACUGAAUUAACUCUUCCAUCGCCUAAGACUCACAAUCCUCCAACUUCCGAAUUCUCCACACUGCCUUAUCUCUGCCAUCCCACGGCAAGCCCUAAAGCUGCUAACAUUUUGUAACAACUAUGUGACAAAUCGUUGUGCUUUUAUUCAUGUCGGACAUUUUUGCCAGGCUUGCUUGUUGUGUUUUCUGUUUGGCUGUGUCCUGGGACCAAAGGUGCCUGCCUUUGUACAGCAUGUCAAAUCUGGUUAACAUGCAGCCAUUUAUCUUCAAAACCACCCUGCACAAUGGCAGCAGUGGGCCAGGCCACAGGGCUCCCAGCACAACCCAAUUUUUUAGACCAUCUUUUCUGCAUGUGGGGAGCACGUUGGGCAGCAGACAAGAUGUUUUGUGAUUUGGGGAAUCUCUUAGAGACAAAUUGUAGAGAGCAAGUGCAGUGUAGCCGGACUGCUGGGUGCCCAGUGAAGUGAGGAAAAUCAGAUACAGCACAGGCUGAAAGAAUGAAGCGGGAAUUCAUAUCUCUGUGCAGAACAUGCACAGUACUUUGCUCACACAGAGUUCACACAUAGACAAAAGCAUGUUUGCUUGUGGGCUAUUUGCAGGGAGGCCAUAGGCCCAGCCUGUGGGUAUGUUCGCACCUGAGCCUCCUCUGUGCAUUUUGUACUGGUGAGGGUGUCCACACGUGAACAUGUACAUAUGCCUGUGUGGGAAGACAAUUUGCUGGUACAGAUUUAAGACAUGAGCAAGACCUUCUGGUUCACUGAGGCGUUUCUCUCCCAGUGUAUUAGAAGCAGAAUCUUUGUGUUUUCUGCGGCUGUUUCAAUAGAGGACUCUGUGUGUGUUUAAAGAAGACGCAGAGCCAGGGACUGUCAAGUGCUACAAUGCAAAAUACGGAGGACUUUCUUUCUAUAAAGCCCCUGCAAACUUUAUAACCCAAUUCGCCCUGGGUUUUCGUUUCUCAGUUCUUUUAAGGUAUCUAGGGGAUGAUUUGCCCUUAAAUAACUAAUUAUCAACAAAGGAGCACAGACAGCCUUAAAAAAAAAACCCGUGAUAAACCGUCAUGAACUAGUUUAACUGAAAUGAAGGAACUUGCUUCCUUGGAUGAGUUAAAGGACUGCACAUAGCAAAACCAUGUGAUUUAAAUGAAUGGUUAGCAACUGUAAAUAGUAAACAUAAACACAUACAUAUCACAUUUAUACACAUACGCGCGUUUGUGUGUGCACAUACACUGAGGUUGCUUGAAGGAACAGGCAGUUUUUCUUUCCCUCUGUCUUUCUCUCCCCACCCCCCGCCCCUUUUUUUUCUUUUUGAGUAAAGGACCCAAGAGAUUGCCUUUCACUUUGAAAACAAUCUCUAAUAUCAGGAAAAUGCGCUGUUUGUUUAUGCGUACAUAAUGCAAGUUUGUCCGCCUGGGAGCUGCAGCAAAUGGGAGAAGUAUGCAUGGAUUUCACAGGUAACAGGAUUACGUGGGCACAUAAUUGAUCCAUUUGGAGAAAAAAAAUGACAGUGCUCUAAAGAUGCCUAGGCUUUGGAGAUGGAGUUUAUGAAACAGGCAUUUGUAAAUUCAAAAGAAUCAAUAUGUCAAUUUUAUUACAUCUCAGAACCAGCUGGGCAUUAAAGGAACAGUAGCCUUAAAAAAAAAAUUGCAGCUGCGUAUUCCCACAUUGUUUACCUUUCUUAAAGGGCUUGGACUUUAAGGAAAUGAACUCAGAAAUGUCUGCCUUUUCAGAAAUUAAUUUACAUUGUCAAAAAAGAACAAUAACUGAGUAAUUUCUGAGUUUUUAACCUAACCAUUUGGUUAAAAUGUCUGACAAUCAUUACAAUUAAUGCCUAUUAAUAGAUAUAGGUAAUAAGCAGCAUAGUAGCUCUCACACAGGCUGCAUAGAGUCACAGAUUCAUUAGAAUUCAUAUCUGCAUUGUGCUUUUCAACAAAGUUUAGAUUUUACCUCUUCACUGAUCUGAGGACAUAAUUUAAGAGCUAAGCUUCGGAUGUCCCACAGAAUUCUGUCUGUGCAAGUGGUAAAUAGUCCUGUUUUAUUAGAGUUUUUGACAAUUCAAAAAGACCAAGUUAUUUUAAAUGAAGUUCAUAGAUAACAGGAUUUGGACAAGAGCCAUAACACACGUUCAUGGGAUGUGAAGUCAAGAUUUUUUUAAAGGUCCCCAAAGAGCUUACACAACUCAGGGUGAAAUUUAGGAGCUAUUAACUGGUCCACUUGUAGAUGAAAUGGUACUUCCUUUCACACCCCUACUGUGUGCUGUAGGAGAAUACCUCCAAGGUGAGCCGCUAUUUCAUGUCCACGUCUUCACUCCCUAGACUCCUGUCCCAAGAACAUCCCUAGAUCCAUUCACUUAAAAUGAAUGGAGCCCGGUCUUCCUCUUCCUCUCUCCCCAGGAGUGAGGAAUUCAAUAUCAUGAGGAAAAAAUCACACACAACACACACACACACACACACACACACACACACACAACAAACACAGCAUUCAGACACAAACAAAUCUGUGUCCGAAUUCUGAUUCUGCCACUAGUUUCCCGGUGGCCCUGAAUGUGUUUUAGCCUCUCUGAGCUUCAGUUCAUAAUGCUGAAAGUAGGGACCAACACUCACUACAGGAUGAUUGGGAGUGUUGAACAAAAUUCUAAGGGCAGUAUCUGGAGCUAUAUUCAAUAAAUUCUGAUUAUUAAUAUUUCCUGGUGAGUCUAAUCAGGCUACCAGGAAUUCUAUGAUAGAGCUACUUCAGUCUCCGGGCCAUGCUGCAACCCUCUUGAGAAGAGGAAACCAUGACCAUCAGCUGAGGUAUUCAUUCCUUUUCAAUUCUUUAGGAGUUUUAAAAAAACAAAAAAGGAAAAGAAAUAGUCAAGGUGCUUGGCAUGGUCUCAUACCUCUGCCUUUCCAGGAAGUGGACGUGGUACUUUUCCUUAUAGGAGCAAUGCCCUCUAACAAAAUCCCCCUAUAUUCUGGGCUGACCUUUAUCACAGCACUUACAAUACCUGGUUCCUAUUUGUCUUCUCACACAUGUAGAUGCUUUGAGGACAGUCUUGUCCAUCCCGUUGUGACCAGUGACUAGCGCAGUGUGUUUUGAUAAAGCGAGACUAUACUUAGUAGGAAGACAAAUCCAUUCUACUGAAAAUGAAUAGGGCAGGUACAUUAAAGAUGUAGUGCAUAUGAAGUCUAGGAAAAAGCUUUGGAUAACUUAUGUUAGGCCCCCUACUACCCUAUAAACAAUAUCUUAAACUCCACUUAGUGACAGCUAUGCCAUUUUGAAUACUUGGGAUUUUUUUUUUAUUUCUUUUCUUUGGUUUUUCAGUUGUAUUCAAAUCAACUGGCUUUCCACCUUUCUCAAUGAUACCUGUAAGACCUGUGAGUCAGGGAGGCAGGCAGAAAGGCAGUGUGGGUGCUCAAGAGAGCUUAGGCUUUGGAUAGCUGAACUCGCCUCUGGUUUCUACUUCACACCAGCCAUGGGAACGGGAGCAAGUUGCUCAGCCCAACUGGGUCUCCAUUUCUCCUGCGGCCUGUGUAACAGGGUCAUUGUGAAGACAUGCUGGAAAUAGGUAAAGGACCCAGCACAUAGUAGGUAUUUAAUGUUGCCUACUCUUCAACGUUUACUGCGUAUUUACUUUGGGUUGGCACCCAUAGGGCCUUCCCCCUUUGCUCCUCCUGUCAAUCAACACUUACUCCACACCCCUGGUGGAUCUUUCUUACCCCAGUUCCAAAGUUCCUUAUGAGAGUUGGAACUCUCAUAUUUAUUUAUUUUUAUUUAUUUAUUUAUUUUUGCUCAAGGAAAUGAGCGUGCAGAAGCAUCUGGAAUCACAACGACUGUUUCUGCCUGAUCUGACUGCUCCUUUGUUCCCACCACCCUUUUCAGUGAACCAUUUCGGUGUUUCUGUAAGGCUCCACCACCAUUUUGCGCUUGGGUGUCUCAGAUCUCUCUUCUUCCGUGAUCCUUUGAAGAUAUCAGAAAAGAAGAUGCAUUCAGCCUCUUGACUUUAUUUGUUUGCCACGCAACUAUGUGGGUUGGUUAGUUAAUAGAGCAGAUUAAAGCACUUUGUUUGAUUCUUCUUCAGCAUACCAGAAAUACAUUCAAAACCCACAGCCACAGAAUGUAAAGAAGAUAGUCCAAAUAUAGUACUACAUAAUGAGGCUCCCUGUUGGUAGUAUAUAAAGCAGUUGAGAGUAUAGCUUCAAAUUCUAAUGAAGAUCAUUUUAAAUUUUGCACUGAAUUGUGAAUUUAAAAUUCCCAUGUUCUCCAUAAGUCUCUGAAGAGGGGCAUGUAAAUACCAUAAGUGAAUUAAUUACCGCCUGAAGUUGGUAAAGCAUGUGUGAAUCCAAACUUUAUUCUUGAACUUGCACUUCUCUUCCCAAGGUUUUUUGAACCAUUUCCUAUAUGCUGAGCUCUGAGUACCUAUUCCACUGCCGAGGACAUAUAAAAAGAUGCUCCCUUCCU